UGGGGAAUUUUGGACAAUGGGCGAAAGCCUGAUCCAGCAAUGCCGCGUGUGUGAAGAAGGCCUUCGGGUUGUAAAGCACUUUUGUCCGGAAAGAAAUCCUUGGCUCUAAUACAGUCGGGGGAUGACGGUACCGGAAGAAUAAGCACCGGCUAACUACGUGCCAGCAGCCGCGGUAAUACGUAGGGUGCAAGCGUUAAUCGGAAUUACUGGGCGUAGAGCGUGCGCAGGCGGUUUGCUAAGACCGAUGUGAAAUCCCCGGGCUCAACCUGGGAACUGCAUUGGUGACUGGCAGGCUAGAGUAUGGCAGAGGGGGGUAGAAUUCCACGUGUAGCAGUGAAAUGCGUAGAGAUGUGGAGGAAUACCGAUGGCGAAGGCAGCCCCCUGGGCCAAUACUGACGCUCAUGCACGAAAGCGUGGGGAGCAAACAGGAUUAGAUACCCUGGUAGUCCACGCCCUAAAACGAUGUCAACUAGUUGUUGGGGAUUCAUUUCCUUAGUAACGUAGCUAACGCGUGAAGUUGACCGCCUGGGGAGUACGGUCGCAAGAUUAAAACUCAAAGGAAUUGACGGGGUCAUAGCUGUUU
This 583-nucleotide ribosomal RNA is filed under the name uncultured bacterium. RNAcentral describes it as "partial 16S ribosomal RNA". It matches the Rfam family "Bacterial small subunit ribosomal RNA", at positions 355 to 935 of the family's 1533-position model. The record is from RNAcentral.